AUUCUUCAUAGCUUUUUUUGAAUUUCUAGAGGGUUCAACAUAGCUUCAAAAUGCAAGUUUACAUCAGAAACUCACCAUUAAAUAUAAUAUUCUCUGUGAUUCUUGUACUGGUUGGGACUAAAUGGUGAGACAAAACCCUUAUUUACUGUCGUAUUCUUUUGUUUUUCAAGACCUUUAUCAACCAACAGUGAAGAUAAUACAACCAACUGACUCUGAGCUCUCUACAUCAGACGUCCUCACACUUGUUUGCCUAGUUUCUGGAUAUUUCCCACCCAAUAUCAGAGUGUACUGGAAAGAGAAUGGCCAGAGACUUCCAUUAACUCGCUACACCAACAGUGAUGCAUGGCAAUACACAGGGAGCAGCACUUAUUCAAUGAGCAGCAACUUAAACAUAUCCAAAACUGAGGACAAGAGUUCUACAUAUUCUUGUGCUGUGAGACAUGAGUCAUCUGAAACACCUUUUGAAAGCAGUAUACAAAAUGUGUUUGCCACAGUGACCUACAGCAAACUUUCAGCCACCUUGCUCCAGGGAACCAGUGGACUCGUAUGCCUGGUCUUUGACUUCAGCCCUGAAUCCAUUAACAUCACUUGGUUUCUUUAUGGCUCCAUAGAACUGUUUGACUACAACACUAGCGAGCCUUAUAGAGGCCAGAACGGAAAGUUCAGUGUCCGAAGCCAUCUUCAUCUGUCUCAAGGCUACUGGUUACCUGGGGCAGUCAUCACCUGCAGGGUGACACAUGCAAACACCACCCUAUCCCUGAAUAUAUCUAAACCAGAUAUGUUGGAGCACUGUGAUUUCUUUGAUGAAAUCAUGCAUGCUGAUGUGAACCAAGACAUAGGUGCAGGAAGCUGGUAUAUGGCUGUCGCUUUCAUAAUUUUUUUCCUCAUCUCUGUCAUCUAUGGUGUCUCAGCUACCAUAAUUAAGACUAAAUGAUGAUCACAAGAUGGAUCCCAUCUUAUGAUCCAUAUGUGAACUUUGACUUUUUUUCCCUUUUUUU
This is a non-coding RNA of Lates calcarifer (barramundi perch), 998 nucleotides long. The record is from the annotation of a RefSeq genome assembly. NCBI's taxonomy places the organism in Eukaryota, Metazoa, Chordata, Actinopteri, Centropomidae.